GACGUUCUCUCUGGAGCUUUUCAAGAGCCCUUACAUAUGGGAAGAUGCAUUCGGGCAAGCUUGAGAAAGCGGGCUCGCUGACGCUGUCCCGAGGGAUGAGCGAGGACCAGUCUCUGCGGCACAUUAUCAGAGACGCAGAGGAAUCGAGCAGACACCUGUCACGCAGCGAUAGCAGAUAUGGAUCAUUAAAACGAGGACAAAGACAAGAAAGCCAUAGUGAAGAUGAUCUGCUUUCUGAAAACAUAGAAACU
Sinocyclocheilus grahami is the source of this 251-nucleotide long non-coding RNA. RefSeq lists it as uncharacterized. The record is from RefSeq and is a predicted model, not a curated record. Lineage: Eukaryota; Metazoa; Chordata; Actinopteri; Cypriniformes; Cyprinidae. The transcript is spliced from 3 exons.